RNAcentral lists this ribosomal RNA (253 nucleotides) under uncultured bacterium. RNAcentral's name for it is "partial 16S ribosomal RNA". It matches the Rfam family "Bacterial small subunit ribosomal RNA", at positions 524 to 776 of the family's 1533-position model. The record is from RNAcentral.
UACGUAGGAGGCGAGCGUUGUCCGGAUUUACUGGGCGUAAAGCGCGCGCAGGCGGCACACUAAGUACGAUGUGAAAUCUCCCUGCUCAACGGGGAGGGUGCAUAGUAAACUGGUGAGCUAGAGGACGGUAGAGGGGGGUGGAAUUGCUGGUGUAGCGGUGAAAUGCGUAGAGAUCAGCAGGAACACCCGUGGCGAAGGCGGCCCCCUGGGCCGAACCUGACGCUGAGGCGCGAAGGCUAGGGGAGCGAACGGG